Long non-coding RNA from Lemur catta (Ring-tailed lemur), 242 nucleotides. RefSeq lists it as uncharacterized. The transcript is spliced from 3 exons. Lineage: Eukaryota; Metazoa; Chordata; Mammalia; Primates; Lemuridae. The record is from RefSeq and is a predicted model, not a curated record.
GGCACAACCAGGCCACGGAGCCAGCCUCCUGGCUCCCGGUCCAGGGCUUCUGCCCAGGGGAAACACUGGCCUUGUGUGCUUCUAUCAAGUUACUUCUCACCAAAAAUCUGCAAGGCUACUAGAAGAAGAUCCAGUCUAGAGAGUGUCCGUGGAAGGAAGGUGAAGAACUGUGAAGUCUGUAUGAGGAGACAGCACCAGAGUUGUGCUGACCUGUGGAGCAAGUGGCAGUUAAAACAUCAAAG